CGCUGUCGGUCCCCUUCCGCAGUCGGCGCGGGCGGCGGCGGGGAGCUGUCCGCCCCGGUGGUUCUGAACCAGGCGCUGCGGAAAUUCCAGAGACAAUGAUGGUUCUUCCAAGAUUGUCUGUGAAAGGCUAGGCACCUGCAAAACCACACAUUUGACCUGAGCCAUCACCCAAGUAGAAUGUAAUCCGCUCUCAGAUCAUAGGAGAAAAAAGAGAGAGAGAGAGAAUCCCAAGAAGAAACACUCACGUCAGGAUUUUCAUCAAAUUUAGUGCACGUCUCACCAUUUAUCUUCAUUUGUGGACGCAACACUGCCCUCCUGAGCAGCGCAAGAGGGUGGGUUUUUACAGAGAAUCACGACAGCUUGACCCAACUGAAGGGCCAGCCUUGCGCUGCUGCUUAAGAGAAAGCCUUGAGUUGGGAAAGGUUUGACAAAUACUGAGAAAAAACAGUCAAUUAAUAUGUUAAAAACACUACCCAACCACAGUAUGAACCAUUUAGACAUAGGGCUUUAAUUUUGACUUUAGUCUCCAAAGCCUAGGGGUCCCUGGGGAAAGGGGGCAGAGGGAGAGGCAGGACCAGCUUCUCUGUGGGCCAGGCUUCUGGGGUUGCUCCCAGCCCUGCCCCCAGAGGGAAUGCCCCCACCCAGGGCUUUGCUCCCAGAAGGGCCCCUCCCCCAGAAAGCCCCUUCCCAAAGGGCCCUGCCCUUUGGGCAACACCCUCAGAGGUCCCAUUAUCCACCCCCAACCCCCCCACACCCCCCUACCCCCACCAAGCACCGCCCUCAGAAGGGUUCUAAGGUGAAGUCAGAGUGCUUCUCUCUCAAUGUCUAGGAAUUACUCAGUUUUAUUUUUGAAUUUGUGUUUUUUGAGCGAAGUGGGUGAUGUAAGGACCUAUUUUAUAUUUUUAUAUUUUAGCCAGAGGCUUCCAUUGAGGUUACACAAUAACCUUGUUGUUUAACCCUUAAGCUGUCCCUGCUCCCCUUCUCCCAGGGGACUUACUUAAAAACAAGUCCCGGAAAUCAACCUCAGGUAACAAAGCUCGAAUACAAGGGUGGGUCAGGCCAGGUAAGACAUCUGAUCAGUGGAGGGUUGCAUACUGUCUCCC
This is a long non-coding RNA of Mustela erminea (ermine), 1103 nucleotides long. RefSeq lists it as uncharacterized. The record is from RefSeq and is a predicted model, not a curated record. The transcript has 3 exons. Lineage: Eukaryota; Metazoa; Chordata; Mammalia; Carnivora; Mustelidae.